This 459-nucleotide ribosomal RNA is filed under the name uncultured bacterium. RNAcentral describes it as "partial 16S ribosomal RNA". It matches the Rfam family "Bacterial small subunit ribosomal RNA", at positions 338 to 795 of the family's 1533-position model. The record is from RNAcentral.
CCUACGGGCGGCAGCAGUGAGGAAUAUUGGUCAAUGGGCGAGAGCCUGAACCAGCCAAGUCGCGUGAGGGAUAACGGUCCUAUGGAUUGUAAACCUCUUUUGUCGGGGAACAAAGGCGUCCACGUGUGGACUGAUGAGUGUACUCGAAGAAAAAGCAUCGGCUAACUCCGUGCCAGCAGCCGCGGUAAUACGGAGGAUGCGAGCGUUAUCCGGAUUUAUUGGGUUUAAAGGGUACGUAGACGGACAGUCAAGUCAGCGGUAAAAAUGCGGUGCUCAACGCCGUAUAGCAGUUGAAACUGGCAGUCUUGAGUAUGCGAGAAGUAUGCGGAAUUCGUGGUGUAGCGGUGAAAUGCAUAGAUAUCACGAAGAACUCCGAUUGCGAAGGCAGCCUACCGGAGCCCUACUGACGCUGAGGCACGAAAGCGUGGGUAUCGAACAGGAUUAGAUACCCGGGUAGUC